ACCCAAAAUGGGGCUCUCUCU
RNAcentral lists this microRNA (21 nucleotides) under Xenopus tropicalis (tropical clawed frog). RNAcentral describes it as "Xtr-Mir-430-o5b_5p* (star (passenger))". The record is from RNAcentral. Lineage: Eukaryota; Metazoa; Chordata; Amphibia; Anura; Pipidae.